This 253-nucleotide ribosomal RNA is filed under the name uncultured prokaryote. Its description in RNAcentral is "partial 16S ribosomal RNA". It matches the Rfam family "Bacterial small subunit ribosomal RNA", at positions 524 to 776 of the family's 1533-position model. The record is from RNAcentral.
UACGAAGGGGGCUAGCGUUGUUCGGAAUCACUGGGCGUAAAGGGCGCGUAGGCGGCGCGACAAGUCAGGCGUGAAAGCCCCGGGCUCAACUGGGGAACUGCGCGGGAAACUGACGGGCUUGAGUUCGGGAGAGGGAAGCGGAAUUCCGGGUGUAGCGGUGAAAUGCGUAGAUAUCCGGAGGAACACCAGUGGCGAAGGCGGCUUCCUGGACCGACACUGACGCUGAGGCGCGAAAGCUAGGGGAGCAAACGGG